GACGAACGCUGGCGGCGUGCUUAACACGUGCAAGUCGAACGGAAAGGCCCUGCUUUUGUGGGGUGCUCGAGUGGCGAACGGGUGAGUAACACGUGAGUAACCUGCCCUUGACUUUGGGAUAACUUCAGGAAACUGGGGCUAAUACCGGAUAGGAGCUCCUGCUGCAUGGUGGGGGUUGGAAAGUUUCGGCGGUUGGGGAUGGACUCGCGGCUUAUCAGCUUGUUGGUGGGGUAGUGGCUUACCAAGGCUUUGACGGGUAGCCGGCCUGAGAGGGUGACCGGGCAACAUUGGGCCGGAGAUCAGGCCGGGACUCCCGCGGGGGCCGCAGGGGGGAAUUUGGGAAAAGGGGGGGGAGCCCGAAGCCAGCACCCCCGGGGGGGGAAGGAGGGCUUUGGGUUUGAAACCCCUUUUCGCCUGUGAAGAAGGGGGAGUGGGGGAAGGGUGUAGAGAGACCCGGGCAAGCUAGGUC
Molecule: ribosomal RNA, 469 nt
Filed under: uncultured bacterium
Lineage: Bacteria
Description: partial 16S ribosomal RNA
Rfam family: Bacterial small subunit ribosomal RNA
Source: RNAcentral